Molecule: ribosomal RNA, 484 nt
Filed under: uncultured bacterium
Lineage: Bacteria
Description: partial 16S ribosomal RNA
Rfam family: Bacterial small subunit ribosomal RNA
Source: RNAcentral
AUUGAACGCUGGCGGCAGGCCUAACACAUGCAAGUCGAGCGGAUGAAGGGAGCUUGCUCCUGGAUUCAGCGGCGGACGGGUGAGUAAUGCCUAGGAAUCUGCCUGGUCGUGGGGGAUAACGUCCGGAAACGGGCGCUAAUACCGCAUACGUCCUGAGGGAGAAAGUGGGGGAUCUUCGGACCUCACGCUAUCUGAUGAGCCUAGGUCGGAUUAGCUAGUUGGUGGGGUAAAGGCCUACCAAGGCGACGAUCCGUAACUGGUCUGAGAGGAUGAUCAGUCACACUGGAACUGAGACACGGUCCAGACUCCUACGGGAGGCAGCAGUGGGGAAUAUUGGACAAUGGGCGAAAGCCUGAUCCAGCCAUGCCGCGUGUGUGAAGAAGGUCUUCGGAUUGUAAAGCACUUUAAGUUGGGAGGAAGGGCAGUAAGUUAAUACCUUGCUGUUUUGACGUUACCAACAGAAUAAGCAACGGCUAACUUCGUG